CCUACGGGUGGCAGCAGUAGGGAAUAUUGCUCAAUGGGGGAAACCCUGAAGCAGCAACGCCGCGUGGAGGAUGAAGGUUUUCGGAUUGUAAACUACUUUUGUUAGGGAGGAUAAUGACGGGAUCUAUCGAAUAAGCACCGGCUAACUCCGUGCCAGCAGCCGCGGUAAUACGGAGGGUGCAAGCGUUACUCGGAAUCACUGGGCGUAAAGAGCGCGUAGGCGGGAGCGCAAGUCAGAUGUGAAAUCCUAGGGCUUAACCAUAGAACUGCAUUUGAAACUGUUAGUCUAGAGUAUGGGAGAGGUAGGUGGAAUUCUUGGUGUAGGGGUAAAAUGCGUAGAGAUCAAGAGGAAUACUGAUUGCGAAGGCGACCUGCUAGAACAUAACUGACGCUGAUGCGCGAAAGCGUGGGGAGCAAACAGGAUUAGAUACCCCAGUAGUC
This 440-nucleotide ribosomal RNA is filed under the name uncultured bacterium. RNAcentral describes it as "partial 16S ribosomal RNA". It matches the Rfam family "Bacterial small subunit ribosomal RNA", at positions 338 to 795 of the family's 1533-position model. The record is from RNAcentral.